This 550-nucleotide ribosomal RNA is filed under the name uncultured archaeon. RNAcentral's name for it is "bacterial SSU rRNA". It matches the Rfam family "Archaeal small subunit ribosomal RNA", at positions 325 to 879 of the family's 1478-position model. The record is from RNAcentral.
ACGGGGUGCAGCAGGCGCAAAAACUUUGCAAUGCGGGAAACCGUGACAAGGGAACUCCGAGUGCCCGUAAAUUCGGGCUGUCCGCCAGUGUAAAAAACUGGUGAAGAAAGGGCCGGGCAAGACCGGUGCCAGCCGCCGCGGUAAUACCGGCGGCUCGAGUGGUGGCCACUAUUACUGGGCUUAAAGCGUUCGUAGCUGGUCUGUUAAGUCUCUGGGGAAAUCUUCCGGCUUAACCGGAAGGCGUCCCAGGGAUACUGGCAGACUAGGGACCGGAAGAGGUGAGGGGUACUCCAGGGGUAGGAGUGAAAUCCUGUAAUCCUUGGGGGACCACCUGUGGCGAAGGCGUCUCACCAGAACGGCUCCGGCAGUGAGGGACGAAAGCUGGGGGAGCAAACCGGAUUAGAUACCUGGGUAGUCCCAGCUGUAAACGAUGCGCGUUAGGUGUAUCGGUGACCACGAGUCACCGAGGUGCCGAAGAGAAAUCGUGAAACGUGCCGCCUGGGAAGUACGGUCGCAAGGCUGAAACUUAAAGGAAUUGGCGGGGGAGCAC